UGAAGAAACCUAUACUUUGGACUUUGUUUUUGUAUAUAUACACCUUGUACAGUGGCAGCAGUGGAUAUCCUAUGUGUUCACCUGGGAGUUCCAGCUCAGUCACAAGAACACAGGUAAUGACAAGAUUGCCUAGCCACACACCACCAUCCACAAUUCUCUAGCCAGGAUUCCAAAAUAGGCCUUCGUAUACUCCGCCGAUGUCUAUAUUGAACUCCAAAUGUGACCACGAUUAUUGUGAUUUACAUCUCUCACUGGAUGCGAUGACAACAAUAAUCGCACCAAGGCGAACUAUAAGGUUAAUUGUAAAAUAUAAUUACCAUAGCCGAUGCUAAUCCGAACUAAGUUCUCUAUGUCCCCCUCUUGGUGUUCUUUGCUCCAACCACCCUGGUUUGUCCUACUUUGGCAUGACCAAGGUCUGACAAAGCC
RNAcentral lists this long non-coding RNA (426 nucleotides) under Hordeum vulgare. Its description in RNAcentral is "long non-coding RNA (HVUL_LNC013410)". Lineage: Eukaryota; Viridiplantae; Streptophyta; Magnoliopsida; Poales; Poaceae. The record is from RNAcentral.